RNAcentral lists this ribosomal RNA (454 nucleotides) under uncultured bacterium. RNAcentral describes it as "bacterial SSU rRNA". It matches the Rfam family "Bacterial small subunit ribosomal RNA", at positions 8 to 507 of the family's 1533-position model. The record is from RNAcentral.
AGAGUUUGAUCAUGGCUCAGAACGAACGCUGGCGGCAUGCCUAACACAUGCAAGUCGAACGAGACCUUCGGGUCUAGUGGCGCACGGGUGCGUAACGCGUGGGAAUCUGCCUUGGGUUCGGAAUAACAGUUAGAAAUGACUGCUAAUACCGGAUAAUGUCUUCGGACCAAAGAUUUAUCGCCCAGGGAUGAGCCCGCGUAGGAUUAGCUAGUUGGUGAGGUAAAAGGCUCACCCAAGGCGACGAUCCUUAGCUGGUCUGAGAGGAUGAUCAGCCACACUGGGACUGAGACACGGCCCAGACUCCUACGGGAGGCAGCAGUGGGGAAUAUUGGACAAUGGGCGAAAGCCUGAUCCAGCAAUGCCGCGUGAGUGAUGAAGGCCUUAGGGUUGUAAAGCUCUUUUACCCGGGAUGAUAAUGACAGUACCGGGAGAAUAAGCUCCGGCUAACUCCGUG